RNAcentral lists this unclassified non-coding RNA (22 nucleotides) under Mus musculus (house mouse). RNAcentral describes it as "oocyte_clustered_small_RNA11646". The record is from RNAcentral. Lineage: Eukaryota; Metazoa; Chordata; Mammalia; Rodentia; Muridae.
UCUGCUAGUGAGAACUGAAGAG